Castor canadensis (American beaver) is the source of this 402-nucleotide non-coding RNA. The record is from RefSeq and is a predicted model, not a curated record. NCBI's taxonomy places the organism in Eukaryota, Metazoa, Chordata, Mammalia, Rodentia, Castoridae.
GUGCUUGAAAAAUGCCUGCAAAAUUCCAUCACACCUUUGCGGGGACCACUUUGGGUCUCUAAGGGAGAAGGUUUCAGCCCCUCAGGAGCUAAGAUGUACAUCCAAGGAGUUCUUUUGGCCUUGUAUGAACGAUUAAAGUCUGCAAAAAAAUAAUACAAACAGAAAAUGGAGUGUAUCUGCAGAUCAUAUAAGGUGGCAGAGGUGCCAUUUCUGGACAUUAAGCAGUCCAAAACAGAAGGAUCUUGCCCUUGAUGAAGAAAAAACAAACAAUAAUGGAUUCAACUUAAAGGACACAAAAGGUUGUUGCCUCACUGACAGCACAACACCUCGGAGGUCACGAUGUAUUCCUAACUGGCCUGGGUGGUAUGGCCAAAGAAUUCAACUGUGGCCACCCACCAGAGG